ACUCCUACGGGAGGCAGCAGUAGGGAAUCUUCCGCAAUGGACGAAAGUCUGACGGAGCAACGCCGCGUGAGUGAAGAAGGUUUUCGGAUCGUAAAACUCUGUUGUUAAAGAAGAACAAGGAUGAGAGUAACUGCUCAUCCCCUGACGGUAUUUAACCAGAAAGCCACGGCUAACUACGUGCCAGCAGCCGCGGUAAU
RNAcentral lists this ribosomal RNA (197 nucleotides) under uncultured bacterium. RNAcentral describes it as "partial 16S ribosomal RNA". It matches the Rfam family "Bacterial small subunit ribosomal RNA", at positions 335 to 524 of the family's 1533-position model. The record is from RNAcentral.